GAUGAACGCUGGCGGCGUGCCUAAUACAUGCAAGUCGAGCGAACGGACGAGAAGCUUGCCUCUCUGAUGUUAGCGGCGGACGGGUGAGUAACACGUGGAUAACCUACCUAUAAGUCUGGGAUAACUUCGGGAAACCGUAGCUAAUACCGGAUAAUAUUUUGAACCGCAUGGUUCAAAAGUGAAAGACGGUCUUGCUGUCACUUAUAGAUGGAUCCGCGCUGCAUUAGCUAGUUGGUAAGGUAACGGCUUACCAAGGCAACGAUGCAUAGCCGACCUGAGAGGGUGAUCGGCCACACUGGAACUGAGACACGGUCCAGACUCCUACGGGAGGCAGCAGUAGGGAAUCUUCCGCAAUGGGCGAAAGCCUGACGGAGCAACGCCGCGUGAGUGAUGAAGGUCUUCGGAUCGUAAAACUCUGUUAUUAGGGAAGAACAUAUGUGUAAGUAACUGUGCACAUCUUGACGGUACCUAAUCAGAAAGCCACGGCUAACUACGUG
RNAcentral lists this ribosomal RNA (497 nucleotides) under uncultured bacterium. RNAcentral describes it as "partial 16S ribosomal RNA". It matches the Rfam family "Bacterial small subunit ribosomal RNA", at positions 28 to 507 of the family's 1533-position model. The record is from RNAcentral.